RNAcentral lists this ribosomal RNA (507 nucleotides) under uncultured bacterium. RNAcentral's name for it is "bacterial SSU rRNA". It matches the Rfam family "Bacterial small subunit ribosomal RNA", at positions 30 to 513 of the family's 1533-position model. The record is from RNAcentral.
AGCGAACGCUGGCGGCAUGCCUAACACAUGCAAGUCUGACGGGCGGGGGCUUUCGGGCCUUGUCAGUGGCGGACGGGUGAGGAGCGCGUAGGAACGUAUCCAAGGGUGGGGGACAACCGCGGGAAACUGCGGCUAAUACCGCAUGGGGCCUCUAGGGAGACCUGAAAGGGGAGACCUGGGGGCCAAAGGCUGGGGGCAACCUAGUCGCCGGUGGAGCGGCCUGCGUCCGAUUAGCUAGUUGGUGGGGUGANGGCUUACCAAGGCAGCGAUCGGUAGCUGGUCUGAGAGGAUGAUCAGCCACACUGGGACUGAGACACGGCCCAGACUCCUACGGGAGGCAGCAGUGGGGAAUAUUGGACAAUGGGCGAAAGCCUGAUCCAGCGAUGCCGCGUGUGUGAAGAAGGCCUGCGGGUUGUAAAGCACUUUCAGUAGGAAGAAAGCCGAGUGCAAUACCACUCGGUCUUGACGUUACCUAAAGAAGAAGCACCGGCUAACUCCGUGCCAGCA